RNAcentral lists this ribosomal RNA (460 nucleotides) under uncultured bacterium. RNAcentral describes it as "partial 16S ribosomal RNA". It matches the Rfam family "Bacterial small subunit ribosomal RNA", at positions 338 to 795 of the family's 1533-position model. The record is from RNAcentral.
CCUACGGGAGGCAGCAGUGAGGAAUAUUGGUCAAUGGGCGCGAGCCUGAACCAGCCAGGUAGCGUGAAGGAUGACUGCCCUACGGGUUGUAAACUUCUUUUAUAAGGGAGUAAAGCGAGGCACGUGUGCCUGUUUGAAUGUACUUUAUGAAUAAGGAUCGGCUAACUCGGUGCCAGCAGCCGCGGUAAUACGGAGGAUUCGAGCGUUAUCAGGAUUUAUUGGGUGUAAAGGGAGCGUAGAUGGGUUGUUAAGUCAGUUGUGAAAGUUUGGGGCUCAACCGUGACAUUGCAAUUGAUACUGGCAGUCUUGAGUACAGUUGAGGUAGGCGGAAUUCGUGGUGUAGCGGUGAAAUGCGUAGAUAUCACGAAGAACACCGAUUGCGAAGGCAGCUUACUAAACUGCCACUGACGUUGAGGCUCGAAAGUGUGGGGAUCAAACAGGAUUAGAUACCCUAGUAGUC